UGCCGGAAUGAGUAGCGAGAGGAAGGUGAGAAUCCUUCCGGCCGAAUAUCUAAGGUUUCCAGAGUAAAGCUGAUCUGCUCUGGGUAAGUCGGGGCCUAAGGCCAGGUCGAAAGACGUAACCGAUGGACAACAGGUUGAAAUUCCUGUACCUUAAGUAAACAGAACUGUGGGGACACGUGUGGAGAGCACAAGCCGGAAAUGGAAAAGCCGGUGCAAGCGAGGUAGGAGAUGAACAGGCAAAUCCGUUCAUCAAUCCGAAGACGUGAUGCGGACCGAAUUAAGAGUAGGGAAGUGUGUGAGCCAUGCGUCAAGAAAAGCCGCUAUUGUUUUACUUAAGCCCGUACCGUAAACCGACACAGGUGGAUGAGGAGAGAAUCCUAAGGCCGACGGGAGAAGCAUUGUUAAGGAACUCGGCAAAAUGACUCCGUAACUUCGGGAGAAGGAGUGCCAGCGAGAGCUGGCCGCAGAGAAUUGGCCCAAGCAACUGUUUAGCAAAAACACAGGUCUAUGCAAAACCGUAAGGUGAAGUAUAUGGGCUGACGCCUGCCCGGUGCUGGAAGGUUAAGAGGAGAGGUUAGCGGCAACGCGAAGCUUUGAAUUUAAGCCCCAGUAAACGGCGGCCGUAACUAUAACGGUCCUAAGGUAGCGAAAUUCCUUGUCGGGUAAGUUCCGACCCGCACGAAAGGCGUAAUGAUUUGGGCACUGUCUCAACAAUGCACCCGGUGAAAUUGAAAUACCAGUGAAGAUGCUGGUUACCUGCGCCAGGACGGAAAGACCCCAUGGAGCUUUACUCCAGCUUGAUACUGGGAUUCGGUAUUGCAUGUACAGGAUAGGUGGGAGGCUAGGAAGUGAUAACGCCGGUUGUCACGGAGCCGCUGUUGGGAUACCACCCUUGCAGUAUUGGAUUUCUAACCAGCGACCAUGAACUGGUCGGGGGACAAUGUCAGGUGGGGAGUUUGACUGGGGCGGUCGCCUCCGAAAGGGUAUCGGAGGCGCUCAAAGGUUCCCUCAGAAUGGACGGAAACCAUUCGAAGAGUGCAAAGGCAGAAGGGAGCUUGACUGCGACACCGACGGGUGGAGCAGGUACGAAAGUAGGACUUAGUGAUCCGGUGGUAUAAAGUGGGAUUGCCAUCGCUCAACGGAUAAAAGCUACCCUGGGAUAACAGGCUUAUCACUCUCAAGAGUUCACAUCGACGGAGUGGUUUGGCACCUCGAUGUCGGCUCAUCGCAUCCUGGGGCUGAAGUAGGUCCCAAGGGUUGGGCUGUUCGCCCAUUAAAGCGGUACGCGAGCUGGGUUCAGAACGUCGUGAGACAGUUCGGUCCCUAUCCGGCGUGGGCGUAGGAUAUUUGAGAGGAGCUGUCCUUAGUACGAGAGGACCGGGAUGGACUGGCCGCUGGUGUAUCUGUUGCAUACCAAAUGCAUGGCAGAGUAGCCAAGCCGGGACGGGAUAAACGCUGAAGGCAUCUAAGCGUGAAGCCCCCCUCAAGAUGAGAUAUCCCUACGUAAGUAGUAAGACCCCUUGAAGACGACGAGGUAGAUAGGUCAGAGGUGGAAGUACAGUAAUGUAUGGAGCUGACUGAUACUAAUCGGUCGAGGGCAUGACCA
Molecule: ribosomal RNA, 1606 nt
Filed under: metagenome
Description: bacterial LSU rRNA
Rfam family: Bacterial large subunit ribosomal RNA
Source: RNAcentral